GAACGCACAUUGCGCUCUCUGGUAUUCCGGAGAGCAUGCUUGUUUGAGUAUCAGUAAACACCUCAAUUUCAAGAUUUUCUAUUUUGAAAUUGGACUUGAGCAUAUCCCAACGUGUAUUUAAUUACAUGGAGGGUUGCUUCAAAUGCAGGUGCAGCCGAUCAUUCUUCUGGGCUAAAAGCAUUAUCUAGUUAGUCCCGUAAAACGGAUUAUUCAUUUUAUUGCUGCAGCUUACCUUUAUAAAAGGAAGACAUGGUCAUUGUGCUGACUGAUGCAGGAUUUCUCAGAGGGUCUGCAAAGACUUUUUGAAAACUCGAUCUCAAAUCAAGUAAGACUACCCGCUGAACUUAAG
This 349-nucleotide unclassified non-coding RNA is filed under the name uncultured Mortierella. Its description in RNAcentral is "sequence contains 5.8S rRNA gene". The stretch from base 1 to 53 matches the Rfam family "5.8S ribosomal RNA", at positions 102 to 154 of the family's 154-position model. Lineage: Eukaryota; Fungi; Mortierellomycota; Mortierellomycetes; Mortierellales; Mortierellaceae. The record is from RNAcentral.